This 496-nucleotide ribosomal RNA is filed under the name uncultured bacterium. RNAcentral's name for it is "partial 16S ribosomal RNA". It matches the Rfam family "Bacterial small subunit ribosomal RNA", at positions 28 to 506 of the family's 1533-position model. The record is from RNAcentral.
GAUGAACGCUGGCGGCGUGCCUAAUACAUGCAAGUCGAGCGAACGGACGAGAAGCUUGCUUCUCUGAUGUUAGCGGCGGACGGGUGAGUAACACGUGGAUAACCUACCUAUAAGACUGGGAUAACUUCGGGAAACCGGAGCUACUACCGGAUAAUAUUUUGAACCGCAUGGUUCAAAAGUGAAAGACGGUCUUGCUGUCACUUAUAGAUGGAUCCGCGCUGCAUUAGCUAGUUGGUAAGGUAACGGCUUACCAAGGCAACGAUGCAUAGCCGACCUGAGAGGGUGAUCGGCCACACUGGAACUGAGACACGGUCCAGACUCCUACGGGAGGCAGCAGUAGGGAAUCUUCCGCAAUGGGCGAAAGCCUGACGGAGCAACGCCGCGUGAGUGAUGAAGGUCUUCGGAUCGUAAAACUCUGUUAUUAGGGAAGAACAUAUGUGUAAGUAACUGUGCACAUCUUGACGGUACCUAAUCAGAAAGCCACGGCUAACUACGU